Long non-coding RNA from Oncorhynchus tshawytscha (Chinook salmon), 584 nucleotides. Lineage: Eukaryota; Metazoa; Chordata; Actinopteri; Salmoniformes; Salmonidae. The record is from Ensembl.
GUCGAUCAAGCGGUGGUUUAGCGAUACUGUUGAAGUUUGAGCCCGGUCUAGUCCUAGAGAUAUAGCCUCAGACGAAGCUACCAAACAUUUAAAAAUGGAACUAUCAAGAAGAAAACAUCUCGCCUUGGAAGGUCACUUGAUUAACUAUCAAAGUCUUACGGAUGAGUCUACAGCUAUACACAGUCAAAAUGCAGGGGCGCCUGUAAGAGGAGAACGCUAUGAGGAAAAUGAUGAAGCUAAACAGAAUGUAAACAUGCGAGAUCAGGAUGAUUCGUACGAAGAGCCAAGGAAAGAGGAAUUAGAGACGGGUCACUGUGAGCAUGCCAGAUCAAUGGAGUCUGUCUGUGUUCUGCAGUGCCCUCAAGUGGUUCCAGUGUGACCUUUCCUCCUUGUCAGCAUUCCAGGGAUGGUCCAUCCUCUACACUGCAGACAGGAAACACCUGACCAGGCUUCAGGAUCAGGGGUCAGUUAAUCAUCAGGAAGCAUGGUGUUUAUUUGAAAAUAAAUAUGUUUUUUUUUUAAAGCAGGGCGUUCGAUUUCUGUGAAAGUCCAAAGUAAGAAAUGGAGAGUACAGUACACAGGAA